UCCUAUAAGUAGGAAAAAAAUCGAUGACCCAUGACUCGUAAAGUCCCCUUGUAAGAUCAAUCUACGUUGAUAGAAACAAAUCAAUAGUCCGUAUACAAAAUACGAAAUAGUAUCAUAAAAAUUAUUAUCUGAUAGAAGACCCUUUUCAAUUUGCAUUUAUUUUCAAAGUUUUAUUUUAUAUAUAAAAUACUAUGUAAAAAUAAAGUGGUACAUUACAACACUUAGCAAUAUUGAUUUAAAUACUUUAUUUUUUAUUUAGAUUCACAUUAAUUUAUUUGUAUUAUAUUAAAUAUGUUAAACAGUUAAUUAAUUUUUAUCGAUAAAACCUGUCAAACUUGACCGAGGUCGAUAAUGCAGAGUCAUUCAUUUAUCCUUGUUCAUAAAAAUAUUUGCUUUAAAAGUUAUGUAUCUUAUACGUACAAACGAAUGCUACAUUGUAUUUUAAAGCAAAUAUUUUUAUAAACAAAUAAACUUUAAAAAUUUUUUUGCAUUUUUAAUCUCGAUCUAAUCGUCCUCGGAUUUAUUUGUGUACGUACUUUAAACGUGUAAAAUUUUCAAUUCUGUAAAUUCAAUUCGAAACUAAAUGGUUGAACAGAAUGUCAGUAAAAUAGAUAACUUUAGGAUCCCCUUAACAUAGAACUUAUAACAUUACAUAUAGUAGACUCUCGAUAAUUGGCCGAAACAGCAGAGGAAAAUUCUCGGAAAAGGCGUAUUACAAAGUUCUCCCGCGCAAACACGAUGCAGUCGUCUGCGUCGGAUCCAUAUGUAUAUCGUGUCAUUGCAUAAGUCACGUCCUAACUUAUUAUAUCUAAUUUCUGUAAGAAAUUGUAGCUUUGAUAUUUCCUUCUUUUAUAAUUUUCUUUGUGUUUCUCUAAUAUUUUUACAAUUAAGUACUACAUAAUUAAUAAUCAGUUUUAAAUGCGUUUAUUUUGAUAACGUCGGGAGAACACGAGCAAAAGUAAUCUCAACAGAGGGGUGCAGAGGGGGGUGUUACGCUGGGCCUCAGCAGUGAGAUGCGGGCCGAGUUUUUCACUCAUGCGCAUCAAGAAUAGCAAUAAUGCAGUGAUGUAUAAUGUGACUAUGGGCGCAAAAAUCUUGAUGCAAAAGUUUUAGCGAGAUUGUAACAGGACAAAAUUAGAAAUGUACAGAUAUAUUUAUUACAAGAGAAGUGCACCAAAUGUUAAUCGCGAAUGGAUAUGUGUUAUAUAUCAUUUCAAAAGUCUUGUCAAGUAGAAUUAAUGUGUGCAAUAUUUCGCUUAAAUGGCCCCUUUAGGCAGCGCUAUGUGUAAUGUAAUUUACAUAACUAUUUGGGUUUCUAUAAAAGCUAACUGGAGUUUUUGCUUCAAAAAUAGUAUCAAAUAAAAGGUGUCUACUAAUAUAAUUAGUUGCACAAGUUUUAUUUAGAAUAUUUUAUUUAAUUCAAGAUAAAUUGCAUUUUCUAUUUUAUUUUAAAAGGACAAAAAGUCCAAAAAGCCAAAAAGUUAUUGGCAAUAAGAUACUAUAAUAUAAAAUAAAUUGCACUUUUUAUUUUAUCUUAGAAACAAAAAUAAAGUAUAAAAAAA
RNAcentral lists this long non-coding RNA (1562 nucleotides) under Monomorium pharaonis (pharaoh ant). RNAcentral describes it as "uncharacterized LOC114255447". The record is from RNAcentral. Lineage: Eukaryota; Metazoa; Arthropoda; Insecta; Hymenoptera; Formicidae.